RNAcentral lists this ribosomal RNA (777 nucleotides) under Triticum aestivum (bread wheat). Its description in RNAcentral is "partial small subunit ribosomal RNA". Lineage: Eukaryota; Viridiplantae; Streptophyta; Magnoliopsida; Poales; Poaceae. The record is from RNAcentral.
AUGGCGGAGGAACCGUCCGCAAAGCGUCAUCAUGCCGAGACGUCGGACAAGAGGAACAACCUCGUCGACAUUAACGUCCCCGGCGAGAAGCGUGAAUACACAACAACCCUCAAAGGAGUUGAGCUCCACAGCAACGAGACACUGGAGAUCAUCUGCACCAGCGUACCAGAAAAGGCCGACGAGGUGAUCUCCAGGCUCUGGAUGAAGCUUGGCGGCAGGUUUCGUAGGAUCGUCGGUGUUGGUGUGCACUACACCAACGAAGAUGAACCUCCCCAGAUGGCAGUAGUCCUGCAGUUGUGCGUCGAUGAACUCUGCUUGGUGUACCACAUCGCAGCGGCCACAAAAUGGCCCAAGCGCCUAACCGAGAUGCUGCAUCAUGAGAAGUUGUUCACAUUUGCCGGUUUCAGCAUUGAAAGCAACAAAGAGAAGCUGAAGUUGUCCGGUAUGGAGAUCAACCCCAACAAGUUCAUUGACAUUCAGCGCAAGUGGAGAGUUCCAUACACCAGAAAAGAGUACGACUCCUUGACUGAUGUUGCAACCAGCGUCAUCCACCCAUUCUACAAAGGCAUGAAGAACAAUAUCAACACGCAGGAAGACUACAAACUGUGGGGGACCAACGAGCUGCCAGACAACCUCAUCGAGUACGCAGGAGUAGAUGUGUACGCCGCGUACAAGUCAUGGUUCAUGAUCGACUACAUCACAGAUGGUUGGGAAUAUGCGAAAGAGCGGGAGGCUGAAAACUUCUACGACCGCCCCUAUUGCCCCUUUACAGGAUGA